RNAcentral lists this ribosomal RNA (460 nucleotides) under uncultured bacterium. Its description in RNAcentral is "partial 16S ribosomal RNA". It matches the Rfam family "Bacterial small subunit ribosomal RNA", at positions 338 to 795 of the family's 1533-position model. The record is from RNAcentral.
CCUACGGGUGGCAGCAGUGAGGAAUAUUGGUCAAUGGGCGCGAGCCUGAACCAGCCAAGUAGCGUGAAGGAUGACUGCCCUACGGGUUGUAAACUGCUUUUAUGAAGGGAUAAAGUGAGGCACGUGUGCCUUUUUGUAGGUACUGUAUGAAUAAGGAUCGGCUAACUCCGUGCCAGCAGCCGCGGUAAUACGGAGGAUCCGAGCGUUAUCCGGAUUUAUUGGGUUUAAAGGGAGCGUAGAUGGGUUGUUAAGUGUGUUGUGAAAGUUUGCGGCUCAACCGUAAAAUUGCAAUUGAAACUGGCAGUCUUGAGUACAGUGGAGGUAGGCGGAAUUCGUGGUGUAGCGGUGAAAUGCUUAGAUAUCACGAAGAACUCCGAUUGCGAAGGCAGCAUACUAAACUGCCACUGACAUUGAUGCUCGAAAGUGUGGGUAUCAAACAGGAUUAGAUACCCUUGUAGUC